GGAGGGGGGGCGAGCGUUGUUCGGAAUUAUUGGGCGUAAAGGGCGCGUAGGCGGCCCCAUAAGUCAGAUGUGAAAGCCCUUGGGCUCAACCAAGGAACUGCAUCUGAUACUGCGGGGCUUGAAUCCGGGAGGGGAGAGUGGAAUUCCCAGUGUAGCGGUGAAAUGCAUAGAUAUUGGGAGGAACACCGGUGGCGAAGGCGGCUCUCUGGACCGGUAUUGACGCUGAGGUGCGAAAGCUAGGGGAGCAAACGGGAUUAGAUACCCCGGUAGUCCUAGCUGUAAACGAUGGGCACUUGGUGUGGCGGGUAUCGACCCCUGCCGUGCCGAAGCUAACGCAUUAAGUGCCCCGCCUGGGGAGUACGGUCGCAAGGCUG
This 374-nucleotide ribosomal RNA is filed under the name uncultured organism. RNAcentral describes it as "partial 16S ribosomal RNA". It matches the Rfam family "Bacterial small subunit ribosomal RNA", at positions 525 to 896 of the family's 1533-position model. The record is from RNAcentral.